This 493-nucleotide ribosomal RNA is filed under the name uncultured bacterium. RNAcentral's name for it is "bacterial SSU rRNA". It matches the Rfam family "Bacterial small subunit ribosomal RNA", at positions 903 to 1397 of the family's 1533-position model. The record is from RNAcentral.
AAAUGAAUAGACGGGGGCCCGCACAAGCAGUGGAGUAUGUGGUUUAAUUCGAAGCAACGCGAAGAACCUUACCAGGGCUUGACAUAUACUUGAAUAUAGUAGAGAUACUAUAGCUUUUCGGAGCAAGUAAACAGGUGGUGCAUGGUUGUCGUCAGCUCGUGUCGUGAGAUGUUGGGUUAAGUCCCGCAACGAGCGCAACCCCUAUUGUUAGUUGCCAGCAGGUGAAGCUGGGCACUCUAGCGAGACUGCCGUAGAUAAUACGGAGGAAGGUGGGGACGACGUCAAAUCAUCAUGCCCUAUAUGUCCUGGGCUACACACGUACUACAAUGGCCGUAACAGAGGGAAGCGAAAUAGUGAUAUGGAGCGAAACCCAAAAAGCGGUCUCAGUUCGGAUUGAAGGCUGAAAUUCGCCUUCAUGAAGAUGGAAUUGCUAGUAAUGGCAGGUCAGCAUACUGCCGUGAAUACGUUCCCGGGCCUUGUACACACCGCCCGU